GAUGAACGCUAGCGGCAGGCCUAAUACAUGCAAGUCAAGGGGCCCUUUCGGGGGCACCGGCGGACGGGUGCGCAACGCGUACACAACGUGCCUUUGACCGGGGGACAGCGGCGGGAAACUGCCGGUAAUACCCCAUGGAGCCGCAGGGGGGCGAUUUCUCUGCGGCCAAAGUUGCGGCGGUCAGAGAUCGGUGUGCGUCCGAUUAGCUUGUUGGCGGGGUAACGGCCCACCAAGGCGACGAUCGGUAGGGGGGUGAGAGCACGGCCCCCACCA
Molecule: ribosomal RNA, 273 nt
Filed under: uncultured bacterium
Lineage: Bacteria
Description: partial 16S ribosomal RNA
Rfam family: Bacterial small subunit ribosomal RNA
Source: RNAcentral